CGGGAAGUGGCAUAGCGGCUAUUGCGGUCGGCUGUAGACUGGCUUGUCAUGGGUUCGAGUUCCAUAUUCCCGA
Molecule: transfer RNA, 73 nt
Filed under: Methanobrevibacter millerae
Lineage: Archaea; Methanobacteriati; Methanobacteriota; Methanobacteria; Methanobacteriales; Methanobacteriaceae
Description: tRNA_Tyr_GTA
Rfam family: tRNA
About the family: Transfer RNA (tRNA) molecules are approximately 80 nucleotides in length. Their secondary structure includes four short double-helical elements and three loops (D, anti-codon, and T loops). Further hydrogen bonds mediate the characteristic L-shaped molecular structure. tRNAs have two regions of fundamental functional importance: the anti-codon, which is responsible for specific mRNA codon recognition, and the 3' end, to which the tRNAs corresponding amino acid is attached (by aminoacyl-tRNA synthetases). tRNAs cope with the degeneracy of the genetic code in two manners: having more than one tRNA (with a specific anti-codon) for a particular amino acid; and 'wobble' base-pairing, i.e. permitting non-standard base-pairing at the 3rd anti-codon position.
Source: RNAcentral